AUGCAAGUCGAGCGAAUGAGGGUAGCUUGCUACCUGAUUUAGCGGCGGACGGGUGAGUAAUGUAUAGGGAGCUGCCCGAUAGAGGGGGAUACCAGUUGGAAACGACUGUUAAUACCGCAUAAUGUCUACGGACCAAAGUGUGGGACCUUCGGGCCACAUGCUAUCGGAUGCACCUAUAUGGGAUUAGCUAGUUGGUGGGGUAACGGCUCACCAAGGCGACGAUCCCUAGCUGGUUUGAGGGGAUGAUCAGCCACACUGGAACUGAGACACGGUCCAGACUCCUACGGGAGGCAGCAGUGGGGAAUAUUGGACAAUGGGCGCAAGCCUGAUCCAGCCAUGCCGCGUGUGUGAAGAAGGCCUUCGGGUUGUAAAGCACUUUCAGCGAGGAGGAAGGGUGUUGUGUUAAUAGCACAGCAUUUUGACGUUACUCGCAGAAGAAGCACCGGCUAACUCCGUGCCAGCAGCCGCGGUAAUACGGAGGGUGCAAGCGCUAAUCGGAAUUACUGGGCGUAAAGCGCACGUAGGCGGUGUGUUAAGUUGGAUGUGAAAGCCCCGGGCUCAACCUGGGAAUUGCAUUCAAAACUGGCACGCUAGAGUAUGUGAGAGGGGGGUAGAAUUCCAAGUGUAGCGGUGAAAUGCGUAGAGAUUUGGAGGAAUACCAGUGGCGAAGGCGGCCCCCUGGCACAAUACUGACGCUGAGGUGCGAAAGCGUGGGGAGUAAACAGGAUUAGAUACCCUGGUAGUCCACGCCGUAAACGAUGUCUACUAGCUGUUCGCGGCCUUGU
Molecule: ribosomal RNA, 785 nt
Filed under: uncultured marine bacterium
Lineage: Bacteria
Description: bacterial SSU rRNA
Rfam family: Bacterial small subunit ribosomal RNA
Source: RNAcentral